Molecule: ribosomal RNA, 253 nt
Filed under: uncultured bacterium
Lineage: Bacteria
Description: partial 16S ribosomal RNA
Rfam family: Bacterial small subunit ribosomal RNA
Source: RNAcentral
UACGGGGGGGGCAAACGUUGCUCGGAAUUAUUGGGCGUAAAGCGCACGUAGGCGGUCUACUAAGUCGGAUGUGAAAGCCCUCGGCUUAACCGAGGAAGUGCAUCCGAAACUGGCAGGCUAGAGUACAGAAGAGGGUCGCGGAAUUCCCGGUGUAGAGGUGAAAUUCGUAGAUAUCGGGAGGAACAUCGGUGGCGAAGGCGGCGACCUGGGCUGAUACUGACGCUGAGGUGCGAAAGCGUGGGGAGCAAACAGG